Long non-coding RNA from Phyllostomus hastatus (greater spear-nosed bat), 450 nucleotides. RefSeq lists it as uncharacterized. The transcript has 3 exons. The record is from RefSeq and is a predicted model, not a curated record. Lineage: Eukaryota; Metazoa; Chordata; Mammalia; Chiroptera; Phyllostomidae.
ACCUUAAAAAUCAAGUUAAAUGGUGGGGCUUCAUUGUGGUGGCAAAGUUAGGGGCUUUGAAUGACUUUCAGAAUGUGGCUGGCUCAGCUAAAGCAGGCCAGCAGGCAAGCCGAGACUGACUCUUGUUGGAGAAGAAGGAAGAAUAUUUGCCCUGUACAAGUGGAGCUCAGACAGAAACCAAAUCAGCAAUGCAAGAAGCCAGCCAUGCCCCACCCUGGCAAUGAAAAAGAAGGAGGAAGGUAUGGUCAACACCGUUGAGCUUUGUCCCACACAGAUUUUCCACUCAGGACGGCCCAUCUCCAUCAUGCCACACCAGCACCACCAUGAUGUCCAAAGAGAGUUUCUUCUCGAUAGUUAAUAAGGUUCCUCCACAUUCAAAAAUGCUCUUGUUUUCCUAAUAACUGGCCCCCUGCCCCGAAUUCCCAUAGGAUGGUGGUGCUUCCUCAUCCU